CCGCGUGAGUGAAGAAGGCCUUCGGGUUGUAAAGCUCUUUUGUCAGGGAAGAAACGGCUGUGGCUAAUAUCCACGGCUAAUGACGGUACCUGAAGAAUAAGCACCGGCUAACUACGUGCCAGCAGCCGCGGUAAUACGUAGGGUGCAAGCGUUAAUCGGAAUUACUGGGCGUAAAGCGUGCGCAGGCGGUUUUGUAAGUCUGACGUGAAAUCCCCGGGCUCAACCUGGGAAAUUGCGUUGGAGACUGCAAGGCUAGAAUCUGGGCAGAGGGGGGUAAAAAUUCCACGUGUAGCAGUGGAAAUGCCGUAAAAGAUGUGGGAGGAACCCCGAAUGGCAAAGG
This 340-nucleotide ribosomal RNA is filed under the name uncultured Oxalobacteraceae bacterium. Its description in RNAcentral is "bacterial SSU rRNA". It matches the Rfam family "Bacterial small subunit ribosomal RNA", at positions 397 to 721 of the family's 1533-position model. The record is from RNAcentral. Lineage: Bacteria; Pseudomonadati; Pseudomonadota; Betaproteobacteria; Burkholderiales; Oxalobacteraceae.